This 746-nucleotide ribosomal RNA is filed under the name Gmelinoides fasciatus. Its description in RNAcentral is "bacterial SSU rRNA". It matches the Rfam family "Eukaryotic small subunit ribosomal RNA", at positions 4 to 672 of the family's 1831-position model. Lineage: Eukaryota; Metazoa; Arthropoda; Malacostraca; Amphipoda; Micruropodidae. The record is from RNAcentral.
CUGGUUGAUCCUGCCAGUAGUCAUAUGCUUGUCUCAAAGAUUAAGCCAUGCAUGUCUAAGUCCAAGCUGUGUUCACACGGCGAGACCGCGGACGGCUCAUUAAAUCAGUCGUGGUCCAAAUGGGCCAGUGCAAAUCCUACUUGGAUAACUGUGGUAAUUCCAGAGCUAAUACAUGCAACUGAUAUCCCGAAGGCGGUGGUUGUGCUUGCUUGUCUUGCGCUCUCACUGCUCUGACGGAUGCUUUUAUUAGACCAAACUGCUGAGGACUUGAGGGCUUGCCUUCUUGUCUGACUCGUGUAAUGGUGACUCUGGAUAACCUUCUGACAAGCGCACGUACUUCUCUUCUGAGCGAGACGGCGCUGCCACUUUCGAGUGUCUGCCUUAUCAGCUAUCAACCGUUCGUUAUGCGCGACCGAUGGCUUUGACGGGUAACGGGGAAUCAGGGUUCGAUUCCGGAGAGGCAGCCUGAGAGACGGCUACCACGUCCAAGGACGGCAGCAGGCACGCAAAUUACCCAAUCCCAGCAAAUGGGGGAGGUAGUGACGAAAUCUAACGAUGCGGGCGCCCUUUCUGGGGCCCCGCAAUCGGAAUGGGCAUUUUCUAAACAACCUGUUGAGAACCUACUGAAGGGCAAGUCUGGUGCCAGCAGCCGCGGUAAUUCCAGCUUCAGCAGCAUCUAUUAAAGUUGCUGCRGUUAAAARGCUCGYAGUUGAAUGUCUGUAUCGAGCGCAGGUCAGGUGGACGUU